GGGGAUUUAGCUCAGCGGCACAAGCACCUGCCUUAUAAGCGGGUGGUCGUGAGUUCAAUCCCUG
Molecule: transfer RNA, 64 nt
Filed under: Cavia porcellus (domestic guinea pig)
Lineage: Eukaryota; Metazoa; Chordata; Mammalia; Rodentia; Caviidae
Rfam family: tRNA
About the family: Transfer RNA (tRNA) molecules are approximately 80 nucleotides in length. Their secondary structure includes four short double-helical elements and three loops (D, anti-codon, and T loops). Further hydrogen bonds mediate the characteristic L-shaped molecular structure. tRNAs have two regions of fundamental functional importance: the anti-codon, which is responsible for specific mRNA codon recognition, and the 3' end, to which the tRNAs corresponding amino acid is attached (by aminoacyl-tRNA synthetases). tRNAs cope with the degeneracy of the genetic code in two manners: having more than one tRNA (with a specific anti-codon) for a particular amino acid; and 'wobble' base-pairing, i.e. permitting non-standard base-pairing at the 3rd anti-codon position.
Source: Rfam by way of RNAcentral